RNAcentral lists this long non-coding RNA (526 nucleotides) under Homo sapiens (human). Its description in RNAcentral is "novel transcript, antisense to NPAS3". Lineage: Eukaryota; Metazoa; Chordata; Mammalia; Primates; Hominidae. The record is from RNAcentral.
AGGGUGGAGCUCAGCUAUCGGGCCAGGAGAGCCUAGUGGGAAGGAGAGAUUUUACUUUAGCUCCCUCAGGCAAGAUUCUAAAAGUACAGUUUGCUUUGCAAAUGUUCUCAUUUUACACACAAGCACACCAAAGUGUGAACACACACAAAUUAAGGUGAUAAGUAUGCCUAGGCCUUGCAUACCAGAAAAAAGCAAUGGAGAACAUUUUUCCCUUCUGUGGCAGUUCCAGGGGAUCUUGUUUAGCUUAGCUGGGGAUAAAGGUGACAGUUAAAAAUAGCCUACUUCGCUCAUGAAAAAAUGGUACUGCAUCAAGGUAGCUUUUUUGAGGCAAAAGAAUCAUUCUAGGUUUGGCAAGGUAGUCCUUGUAAGAGCACUGGCUUGCUUUUGGAGUGCACCCAUCAUCUUCAUUUCAGGAUUGGCAAGAAGAUCAAGUAAAGUACAAGCAUCUUUGAAGAGUGAAAAAAUAAUUUUCCAAGUAAGCAAAUACAACUUUGCACUUCAAAUCAGGCCUUGAUUCAUCAAAAAA